AGGCACAAUUCAUUGUCCUGCUCUGCCUCAUUGUAGGAGCAGCGAUAUUUCUUUUGUGCUAUAAAAAUGCUGGAGGUAAAUUAGCAGAGCGGCUUCUGUGUGCCACCUCUGCCAGUCCCCUUCACACAGUC
Cynoglossus semilaevis (tongue sole) is the source of this 131-nucleotide small nucleolar RNA. Lineage: Eukaryota; Metazoa; Chordata; Actinopteri; Pleuronectiformes; Cynoglossidae. The record is from Ensembl.